CCCGUGAAUCCGGGCGGUUAGAAUUCAGAAUCGAUGGCGGCGUUUCGCGCGUCGUCGUCGAUUUGAUAUUUCUGCCGCCGUCGUAAGAAACACGGACGUCGCGACCCGUUCGACGUUGGUCUCGAGAACCGCGCUUUUUUAACGUUCGCCGUGUCCGGGCGCGUUCGCGUGUCCGGUACGCGGCGAGGGCGCGGCCUUCUGGCCAGCUAUUCGUCGGACGGUAGGUAACGAGCGCGGUAUUCGGCGUCGCCUUUUCGCGCGACGCCGACACCGGUCAGCGACGAAUCUUCGGGCCUCUUUCCGACCCGUCUUGAAACACGGACCAAGGAGUCUAACGUGUGCGCGAGUCGCGGGGUAUCGAGUCGCGCGCG
This 371-nucleotide ribosomal RNA is filed under the name Nidularia balachowskii. RNAcentral's name for it is "eukaryotic LSU rRNA". The record is from RNAcentral. Lineage: Eukaryota; Metazoa; Arthropoda; Insecta; Hemiptera; Kermesidae.